RNAcentral lists this ribosomal RNA (301 nucleotides) under uncultured bacterium. RNAcentral's name for it is "partial 16S ribosomal RNA". It matches the Rfam family "Bacterial small subunit ribosomal RNA", at positions 509 to 807 of the family's 1533-position model. The record is from RNAcentral.
CAGUCGCCACGGGAAUACGGAGGGUGCAAGCGUUAAUCGGAAUUACUGGGCGUAAAGCGCACGCAGGCGGUCUGUCAAGUCAGAUGUGAAAUCCCCGGGCUUAACCUGGGAACUGCAUUUGAAACUGGCAGGCUAGAGUCUUGUAGAGGGGGGUAGAAUUCCAGGUGUAGCGGUGAAAUGCGUAGAGAUCUGGAGGAAUACCGGUGGCGAAGGCGGCCCCCUGGACAAAGACUGACGCUCAGGUGCGAAAGCGUGGGGAGCAAACAGGAUUAGAUACCCGAGUAGUCCCUGUCUCUUAUAC